UCCGAGAGGUAGUACAGAGCCACUGAAGUUUAUAGGAGAUUAGAUCUGAUUUUAAGGAAUUUCAUUUUAUCAACUGUGUGGAGGAUGAUUUAGAGAGUGAAAAGACAAGGGAAGAAUGUCACUUAGGAGCUAUGGCAAUAAGUCUAGAGUCUGAAGGAGAUAGCUGAGAGAUUUUUUGCUCCACAGCAUGAUAUGACCUGCUUUGAACAAAGGAAAAACAUUUAAUCAAAGGCCCAGUCAUUGUAUCUGACAAGGCUGUUUUCUGGGAGAGGAGAACAGAAGAAGAAAUUGGGAAGUACAGUUAAUAUAAAAUCCAAUCUAUCAAUAAAAAUUGAUUUUUAAAAAAUACAUAAAUUCACAAAAUCUGUUAUAGUCAUUGACCUGACAG
Long non-coding RNA from Antechinus flavipes (yellow-footed antechinus), 388 nucleotides. RefSeq lists it as uncharacterized. The record is from RefSeq and is a predicted model, not a curated record. The transcript has 3 exons. Lineage: Eukaryota; Metazoa; Chordata; Mammalia; Dasyuromorphia; Dasyuridae.